Molecule: long non-coding RNA, 287 nt
Organism: Impatiens glandulifera
Lineage: Eukaryota; Viridiplantae; Streptophyta; Magnoliopsida; Ericales; Balsaminaceae
Exons: 2
Source: RefSeq, a predicted model, not a curated record
AAAUCGUAUGAGACAGAAGGGAGUAGGGAAAUGCAGACGGAGCCACCUUUCUUCUCCAACACGUUGAUGACCUGGAGUCGACUCCAAUUUUCGAUGAGUUGCCCACGGCCAAAAUCGUGUCCGUUUCUCGGCCUGACGCUACCGAUAUUAGUCCAGCACUCCUUUCUUACACCAUCGAGUUCCAAUACAAAUAGUUGCAUAAGAAAGCUGCACAAGUGUUUUAUUUACAUUUCGCUUUGAAGAGGCGAACAUUUAUAGAGGAAGUUCAGGAGAAACAGGAACAGGUA